CUGAAUUCUUUAGUUGCCAUGCAUUUUUCUGAGCCUUUGCACUGACCCGGCUGCUCAGCUUCUCCAAUGGAGCAGCCUUAGUUAGAGCUGGGUUGGAGGGAGUGCAGACUGAACCUGUCUUCAGCCACCCGUUCAUGUCAAAAUCCCUACAUUUCCUGAAGGCUUUAAAUUCCUUUUUCCUGGGCAUCCUCGAACCAGCUUAGUGUGGAGUGACCCAGCCAUAAUUUACAUUUAAGCCUAAUUUGAAUUCAUAAGCAAGGCAUUCCUCAGUCUGUUUCACCUGAGGGGCUCUAUCCAGCUGGCAUCCUUCGAGCAUGACUAAUGGUGCAGGCUGUGCAUGAAGCACAGCAGCAGCAGCAGCUGCUGCUGCUGCCCACAUGAAAAAAUGUUUCCCAGGGGCUGAGAUCAAAGGUAUUGCAACAGGAUCACAGAUGGUGCAAAAAUGGUUUCUGGAAUGCAAAUAAAAAGGGGCAGGAAGCCAGCCUCCAUUGCUUCCUUACUUGUACCACUCUGUGUGGUCCCCUGCUGACUGGGCUGCUUUCCACAAGCCAUAAAACAACCUGAGGACUGCCCUGAUUUAGGCUUGUUUAAAAUUCUCCUUGAUUGCAGUUAUUGGUGAGAAGUGCAGCAGUGCAGGGUGGCAAAACCCAGCCCCAUUGUAACUAAGAAUCUGCACCCAAGUGUGUUGAGUUU
RNAcentral lists this long non-coding RNA (693 nucleotides) under Cyanistes caeruleus (blue tit). Its description in RNAcentral is "lncRNA (ENSCCEG00000013157.1)". The record is from RNAcentral. Lineage: Eukaryota; Metazoa; Chordata; Aves; Passeriformes; Paridae.